RNAcentral lists this transfer RNA (57 nucleotides) under Schistocephalus solidus. It matches the Rfam family "tRNA". From Rfam's summary of the family: Transfer RNA (tRNA) molecules are approximately 80 nucleotides in length. Their secondary structure includes four short double-helical elements and three loops (D, anti-codon, and T loops). Lineage: Eukaryota; Metazoa; Platyhelminthes; Cestoda; Diphyllobothriidea; Diphyllobothriidae. The record is from Rfam by way of RNAcentral.
GAACCCGUGGCUCAUUGGUUGGAGCGUUUGACUUCUGAUCAACAGUUCGCGGGUUCG